UGCGGCUGAACCAACAGAUUCACUUCGGUGAUGACGUUGGGAACGCGAGCGGCGGAUGGGUGAGUAACACGUGGGGAACCUGCCCCAUAGUCUGGGAUACCACUUGGAAACAGGUGCUAAUACCGGAUAAGAAAGCAGAUCGCAUGAUCAGCUUAUAAAAGGCGGCGUAAGCUGUCGCUAUGGGAUGGCCCCGCGGUGCAUUAGCUAGUUGGUAGGGUAACGGCCUACCAAGGCAAUGAUGCAUAGCCCGAGUUGAGAGACUGAUCGGCCACAUUGGGACUGAGACACGGNCCAAACUCCUACGGGAGGCAGCAGUAGGGAAUCUUCCACAAUGGACGAAAGUCUGAUGGAGCAACGCCGCGUGAGUGAAGAAGGUUUUCGGAUCGUAAAGCUCUGUUGUUGGUGAAGAAGGAUAGAGGUAGUAACUGGCCUUUAUUUGACGGUAAUCAACCAGAAAGUCACGGCUAACUACGUGCCAGCAGCCCGCGGNAUANAA
This 496-nucleotide ribosomal RNA is filed under the name Lactobacillus acidophilus. Its description in RNAcentral is "bacterial SSU rRNA". It matches the Rfam family "Bacterial small subunit ribosomal RNA", at positions 39 to 525 of the family's 1533-position model. The record is from RNAcentral. Lineage: Bacteria; Bacillati; Bacillota; Bacilli; Lactobacillales; Lactobacillaceae.